UAAAAAGUCCUUUAAACA
RNAcentral lists this transfer RNA (18 nucleotides) under Incilius bocourti (Bocourt's toad). RNAcentral's name for it is "partial tRNA-Phe". Lineage: Eukaryota; Metazoa; Chordata; Amphibia; Anura; Bufonidae. RNAcentral also lists the same sequence under 5 other names. The record is from RNAcentral.